UCAAAUUCCACCUAAAUCCCCUCCAAUCCUCUUCAAUCCCCUCCUGGUACCUGGUAGGGAUUAACCGAACAAGGCCUUAGCGAACAGGCCAACAGGGUAAAAAAAACCUUCCACCACAAACCAGACCCUAACUCUAGCUCCAGCCCCGUCCGCCCUCGUCUCUCGUGACCCUCCAGCCUCUCCCGCCGCCAGCCUCCAUCCUUCCCUUCCCUCACCAGAUCUCCCGUCUGGAUUUUCGUGGUUCGAUGGAUUCCCCGAUUACUCGCCGUCGCUGCUUACUCUGUUGUGGUUUUCAAGGGAGGAGUUCGUGGACAGCUUGGAGCAGCCAAAAUUGGACACUCUAGGAUUCCUCUGUCCGUCCAUGGCCGUUGAGCUGCAUUGCUUCCGACGGCGUUGCCAGUGCCCCGUCGCCAUCGACCCCGAGGCCACCCCUGUUCCCGACGGCGCUCCUCUCUGCCUUGCUCCCUUAUACAUGAAGGCUGCUUGCCGGUGUCGUCUUUCGCCUGUACUGGUCGGCGGCAUCUGCUUCUCCGGCACCAAGAAGUCCAUGUCCCCUUGGUUCAGCACGAGAUCUCUAGUCCGGCAGCCUCUACUAGACACCACGGGUAACUAAUCCAGUUCCCUAAUCUUUUUUUCCAUGGACGCAUGAUUCAGAGUGUACUCCUUGCUGCAGGUGCUUUUGGAUGAGGGACACACCCACGUUCAGUAGUCUAAAUAGGUAAGCAGUCCAAAAUACAGUACACAAUACUGACCAGGAAACUGAACAGGUGAUGUUGGUUCAAUCUUUCUUUCCGGCACACUUACAUGGAGCGUACUCCUUGCUGCAGGUGCUUUUGGACGAGGGACACACCCACGUACAAUAGGUAAGCAGGUUAAUUGCUUCCUUACAUAAACACACAUACAUGCACUUGACGAUGGUUGAUUUAAUCUGGGUGGAUGUGCACGAGGUAGCUCACUGAGUUGAUCACCGGUGGCUCUCUCUCCCAAUUGCUACCUCUCUAAGCCUUGGUGUUGUGUCCCUGCAACUAAAUAUCAUUUCUCCUCCAUAGGUUUGAUUGCAUCUCCAAAAUAAAAUAUUGAUCAGGUGCAUGUUCAGGAGGUCGGCGUACACACAUAUUUAGGCCAAUCGAGCGUGCCAGAAGAAAUCAAUCUUUUUACCUGCAUGUAAGUACGUACUAGCUAGCUUAUCUAGCCGCAAUCUAUUUUUUUGCAUUGUAGAUAGCCUAAUCUUCAGUAUAAUUUUACGAUGAUAUAUAUUUAUACUCAGCUCAUCUAUCAUGUAAGUUACAUGGUAUAAAUUGGACUCUUUUACACAAACAAUCUCCCACGUUAACUAAACAUAUAUACAUUUUUUUGGAACCUAAUUUAAAGGAAAGUAAUUGUCUUAAUGUGGAAGUUUCACCAUUUAAUUGUCUUAGUGUAGUUAUAUGGUGCAUGAAGUUGUUUUAGCUACAAUUUUAGUUGAGGUAUACCUAUUUUUAGGGACUGUCUAUUUCGCAUUUGACUGUUUUUCUAUUCGACAACAUUCAAAUUUCCCGGCAAAUAAACAGAUGCCACAUGUAUGUCCAGCCCUUCCCCGCGGCAACUGUAUGUUCUGUAUUUCUAAAAAAAUGGAUCGGGUUAAAUUCUGACACGGUUUCAACUGAACCUGGAGUCCUGGAUCACAUCAACCAGCUGCCCAUCAGCUUGCAAUCCACGCAAGGGCCAAACCCAUUGAAAAUCAGAAAAUAUGCACUAGUAGUGGUAGCAUUAAAACAAUAAAAGAAUGACAGAUAUUUAGUGCUAAACUUCCAACAAAAACAAGGCUGCAAGUACCCUAAACUGGUGAACAUACACUGUAAAUUACCAAGAAUUACAGUGCAAGAGUCCAAGAAUUACAAUGUAAAUCCCCUAGAAAUUACAGUCCACAUAUAGAGGAAAUGGCACUGUAAUUACAGGUCACUAUCACUGUAAAAAACUAAGAAUUACAGUGUAAAAAAUCCCCUAGAAAUUACACUUUACAUAUAAUGAAAUUUUCCAAAAACUUAUAGUGUAAGUAACCAAGAUUUACAGUGUAAAUCCCCUAGAAAAUAGUGUAAAUCCCCUAGAAAAUACAGAUUACAUAUACAGUAAUUACACUACAAGUACCCACUGAUUACGAUAGUAAAACUGAUAAUCUUAUGCUGAAUUAGAGUUUAAGUAACCAAGAUUUAUAAUGUCAAUUCCCUAGAAAAUACAGAUUACGUACAUACUAAUUGUAUUGCAAGUACCGAGUGAUUUACACUAGUAAAACUGAUGAGUUUAUGCUGAAUUACAGUGUAUGUGACCAAGAUUUAAGAUUUGCAGUGUAAAUCCCCUAGAAAAUACACAUGUGCACACAUAUUUAUCUGGCUUAAUUUAGAUGCUAUUUUAUUCACACACAUGUGCACAAGUAACAGAUGUCAAUCAAUGCUAAAUCUGCCAUUUCAUUAGUUUUUUUUUGAAAGCACGCCAUUUCAUAAGGCUCUGCAAUGGUGCGCUCACAUGUCCAUUAAGAUGGACUAUUAGGGACUGUGGGAUCCAUCCCAAAGUUUGUAAUUAUGAAUGAUAUGUAACAUGAGCAUCGCAGGGCAUGUAGUCAAUUUAGCAAUAUUUAUCUACCGCCAUUAAAUAUAAAAGUUUGCACAGAGUGCAUUUGAUGACUCCGUAUCAAAUAUAUUCUAACUUGAGUACGGAGACUACUAGAUAUAUUGGUUAGCUGGGGCUGAAGCAUUACACAAUUUUAAUACCAUGAAAUAGAAUUGGUUCUAUAUCUAAUACAAGAAAUAGUUGUUGUUCCAACAUACAUUUAGUUAUUAUACUAAAUAAAUAUGUAUAUGAGAAAAAAAUGCUAAUUAGGCGGCAAAACUCAUACUGUUUUGGUAUACUCCUAAUUUGGACAUGCUCCAUACUUCUUUUUCAGAUACCAUCAUUUUCUUCUUGCAGGCGGCAAUGGCAGGAGCAUAUUGUGCAGAGGAAGAGGAUGAACCUUAAUGUGUUGAACCUUAUAUACUAGAACCUUGCAGGUGUUUUUGCAGAUGUAUUCUAUUGUGCACGUGUAAAAUUAUUCUGAUGUGCUCUUGUUAGGCGUUGAACCUUAAUGCGUGGAGUCGGUGGAUGAUGUAUUGUAUUUGAUGUGAUAUGCUACUGAAAUGAAAUAUACAUUUUAUUUGCAAUCUUUUAUUCUGUUGUACUUA
Molecule: long non-coding RNA, 3194 nt
Filed under: Hordeum vulgare
Lineage: Eukaryota; Viridiplantae; Streptophyta; Magnoliopsida; Poales; Poaceae
Description: long non-coding RNA (HVUL_LNC019609)
Source: RNAcentral